GCUGAGAAUUUCAGGUACCUGGUGAAGCUGCCCAGGCUGCAGCUUGGAUGGAGUGGGGACAGCAGGAGACAGGGAGACCUGACCAGCUCCCCUGCAGCCCUGGUGUCACCCAUAAAGCAAAUCCAACCUAGACCCACAUCAGAGGUCAAACCCUGUCAGCUCCUCUCAGCAGUAGCUGCUCCCUGAACAGCAGCAGAGCUCAGAAAGCUCUGUUUGCAGCACUCUGGAUGUGAGCCAGCACAAACCUCUCCAGGCAGACCUGGCAGGCAAGCAGGAUGUCUCAAGGUCACAACAGCUGAUGAACACAAAUUCUGUCCAAGUCCCUGAGGCCUGGGAAGAGAUGUGUUAUAGCAUGGACUAUAUAAAAAUAGCUCCUGCUGGGAAACCCUGAAAGGAUAA
RNAcentral lists this long non-coding RNA (399 nucleotides) under Parus major (Great Tit). RNAcentral's name for it is "lncRNA (ENSPMJG00000006866.1)". Lineage: Eukaryota; Metazoa; Chordata; Aves; Passeriformes; Paridae. The record is from RNAcentral.